Molecule: microRNA precursor, 59 nt
Organism: Hucho hucho (huchen)
Lineage: Eukaryota; Metazoa; Chordata; Actinopteri; Salmoniformes; Salmonidae
Source: Ensembl
AAGUUCUGUGAUACACUUCGACUCUAAUUGUUUGCAGUCAGUGCAUUACAGAACUUUGU